GAUGAACGCUGACAGAAUGCUUAACACAUGCAAGUCAACUUGAACUUCGGUUUGGGUGGCGGACGGAUGAGUAACGCGUAAAGAACUUGCCUCACAGAUAGGGACAACAUUUGGAAACGAAUGCUAAUACCUGAUAUUAUGAUUUUAGGGCAUCCUAGAAUUAUGAAAGCUAUAUGCGCUGUGAGAGAGCUUUGCGUCCCAUUAGCUAGUUGGAGAGGUAACGGCUCACCAAGGCGAUGAUGGGUAGCCGGCCUGAGAGGGUGAUCGGCCACAAGGGGACUGAGACACGGCCCUUACUCCUACGGGAGGCAGCAGUGGGGAAUAUUGGACAAUGGACCAAGAGUCUGAUCCAGCAAUUCUGUGUGCACGAUGAAGUUUUUCGGAAUGUAAAGUGCUUUCAGUUGGGAAGAAAAAAAUGACGGUACCAACAGAAGAAGUGACGGCUAAAUACGUGCCAGCAGCCGCGGUAAUACGUAUGUCACAAGCGUUAUCCGGAUUUAUUGGGCGUAAAGCGCGUCUAGGUGGUUAUGUAAGUCUGAUGUGAAAAUGCAGGGCUCAACUCUGUAUUGCGUUGGAAACUGUAUAACUAGAGUACUGGAGAGGUAAGCGGAACUACAAGUGUAGAGGUGAAAUUCGUAGAUAUUUGUAGGAAUGCCGAUGGGGAAGCCAGCUUACUGGACAGAUACUGACGCUGAAGCGCGAAAGCGUGGGUAGCAAACAGG
RNAcentral lists this ribosomal RNA (722 nucleotides) under uncultured Fusobacterium sp. Its description in RNAcentral is "bacterial SSU rRNA". It matches the Rfam family "Bacterial small subunit ribosomal RNA", at positions 28 to 776 of the family's 1533-position model. Lineage: Bacteria; Fusobacteriati; Fusobacteriota; Fusobacteriia; Fusobacteriales; Fusobacteriaceae. The record is from RNAcentral.